This 2399-nucleotide long non-coding RNA is filed under the name Sus scrofa (pig). RNAcentral describes it as "lncRNA (ENSSSCG00000052641.1)". Lineage: Eukaryota; Metazoa; Chordata; Mammalia; Artiodactyla; Suidae. The record is from RNAcentral.
GAUCAAUUUCACCUUUACUUUAAAAUUUGUAUUUAUGCAUUUGUUUGCAAAAGUAUGCCUGUCUUUAACAUUACUACCAUGUUCACUUCCCUCAAAGUAGUACAUAAAAAUAACAAUUCAAGCUUUUAUAUAUUUUAUUGUUACCAAGCUUCCACAGAACAUGUGUGCAAACUUCAGGUUUCCCAUCUCAAACAAAUCUCCAUUCCCAAACUAAGCUAACCAAAAACCUUCAAGUCAGCAAACACACAAAAUUCAUUAAAGAGAAACCUCAAAUAAUGUUUUUAAAAAUCAAACUUGAGAACUAACCUUUUAUAAUUAAACUAAGUUGUUGCACCUUUCCUUUCAUAUGCAUGCACCGGGCUAAAGACUUCCAAAACAGACCCCAUACUUGGCACAAGGACAUUUCAAAGAAGAAACAAAAACAAAAGGAAGAAGAAAAUAGAAAGGAAAAGAGGUUUACGCUAACUGACUGCAAGUUUAGUCCACUUCCUCGAUGGUCGGUCCCCCGGAGGCUCCAGUACCGCCGCCACCGCCAGGGCCGCCUUGGUAAAGUUUGCUGAUGAUGGGGUUGCACACUCUUUCGAGCUCUUUCUGCUUGUGUUCAUACUCAUCUUUCUCCGCCAUCUGGUUUCGGUCGAGCCAGUUGAUCACCUCCUGACACUUGUCGAGGAUCUUGUUUUUGUCCUGCUCGCUAAUCUUGCCCCUCAGUUUCUCGUCUUCCACCGUCUGCUUGAUGUUGUAGGUAUAGGACUCCACGGCGUUUUUGGCGGCUACCCGGUCGCGAUUGGCCUCAUCUUCCGACUUGUACCGCUCAGCCUCCUGCACCAUCCGGUCAAUGUCGUCCUUGCUUAGACGACCUUUGUCGUUGGUGAUGGUGAUUUUGUUUUCUUUACCGGUGCUCUUGUCGAACUUGCCCAGCAGGUUAUUGUCCUUUGUCAUGGCCCGUUCGCCCUCGUACACCUGCACCAGCACGCUGCUCUGGUUGUCUGAGUAGGUGGUGAAGGUCUGCGUCUGCUUCGUGGGGAUCGUGGUGUUCCUUUUGAUGAGUGGAGUCAUGACGCCGCCAGCCGUCUCGAUGCCCAGCGAGAGCGGGGUCACGUCGAGUAGCAGCAGGUCCUGCACGUUCUCGGACUUGUCCCCGAUCAGGAUCGCUGCCUGCACAGCGGCUCCGUAGGCCACCGCCUCGUCAGGGUUGAUGCUCUUGUUCAGCUCCUUGCCGUUGAAGAAAUCCUGCAGCAGCUUCUGGAUCUUGGGGAUGCGAGUGGAGCCGCCCACCAGCACGAUCUCCUGGAUCUGGCCCUUGUCCAGCUUGGCGUCGCGCAGCGCCUUCUCCACCGGCUCGAGGGUCCCGCGAAACAGGUCUGCGUUGAGCUCCUCAAAGCGGGCCCGGGUGAUGGACGUGUAGAAGUCCACGCCCUCGUAGAGCGAGUCGAUCUCGAUGCUCGCCUGUGUGGACGAGCUCAGGGUGCGCUUAGCGCGCUCGCAGGCGGUGCGGAGUCGCCGCACCGCGCGCUUGUUGGGCCCAAUGUCCUUCUUGUGCUUGCGUUUGAACUCCUCGGCCAAGUGGCUCACCAUGCGGUUAUCGAAGUCCUCGCCGCCCAGGUGGGUGUCGCCAGCCGUGGACUUCACCUCGAAGAUGCCGUCCUCGAUGGUCAGGAUGGACACGUCGAAAGUGCCGCCGCCCAGGUCGAAAAUGAGCACGUUCUUCUCGCCGCCCGCGCAGCCCUUCUUGUCCAGGCCGUAGGCGAUGGCUGCCGCUGUGGCUCGUUGAUGAUGCGCAGCACAUUAAGGCCCGUGAUGGUGCCCGCGUCCUUGGUGGCCUGGCGCUGAGAGUCAUUGAAAUAGGCGGGGACGGUGAUGACCGCGCUCUGCACCUUGCCCCCCAGGUAGGCUUCGGCGAUCUCCUUCAUCUUAGUGAGGACCAUGGAAGAGAUCUCCUCCGGGAAGAAGGUCUUGAUCUCUCCCUUGUACUCCACCUGCACUUUGGGCUUCCCUCCCUCGCUCACCACCCGGAAUGGCCAGUGUUUCAUGUCCGAUUGCACUGUGGCGUCCUCGAACUUCCGUCCGAUCAGCCUCUUGGCGUCGAAGAUGGUGUUCGUGGGGUUCAUGGCCACCUGGUUCUUGGCGGCGUCGCCGAUGAGGCGCUCGGUGUCGGUGAAGGCCACGUAGCUGGGGGUGGUGCGGUUGCCCUGGUCGUUGGCGAUGAUCUCCACCUUGCCAUGUUGGAAGACCCCCACGCACGAGUAGGUAGUGCCCAGGUCGAUGCCGAUAGCCGGGCCGCGGGCAGACAUCCUGACUGAAAGACGAGCAAGCGACGUUAGACGAGAACACCUGGCACAGAAAAUCCGCGGCCUCAGCUAACGGUCGCUUGCACCACACACCACGAGCGCAACCAGCGU